UGCACAAAUUUAAUCCCCGCACUGCUGCAUAAUUCGUUGUGCCAAUGCAUCCCACUUAACACCACGCUUUGUCCCACUUAACGCUAUGUUAUAUAAAAUAAUCAUUUCGUAGGUGAUGACGCAUUUGCUGUCAGAACUUGGCUGAUGAAACCAUUCUCUCAUUGCUCCCAGAAUUACAAAGAAAUUAUCAACAGCUGCAGAUUGUCUCAUGCACGUUGUGUGGUGGAGAAUGCAUUUGAAAUCUUGUCUCAAAGAUGGUUAUUUACAAUAAAUAC
This is a long non-coding RNA of Thalassophryne amazonica, 275 nucleotides long. RefSeq lists it as uncharacterized. The transcript has 4 exons. Lineage: Eukaryota; Metazoa; Chordata; Actinopteri; Batrachoidiformes; Batrachoididae. The record is from RefSeq and is a predicted model, not a curated record.